This 273-nucleotide long non-coding RNA is filed under the name Mytilus galloprovincialis (Mediterranean mussel). The record is from RNAcentral. Lineage: Eukaryota; Metazoa; Mollusca; Bivalvia; Mytilida; Mytilidae.
AUCUAAGCCAUUGAAAUUUUGGCGGGAAAAUAUUCUCUCUUGACUUUUCAUAGCUUUAUCAUUGACAAGUUAAAGUCCUCAAAAACUAUUAAAAAGUAAUUAAAAUUUUAAAAGACUUUAACAGACAGCUUAAAACUAUACAUGUAAAAGAAUUAUAAAAAGAAAAAUGGGGGUCACCGGGGAAAUUUUUUUAUACAUUCCAAUGGAUAAAACCAGAGGAUUCCGAAAAUCUGACCAAAAUUCCAAAACAUGACAAGCCAGUUUCCUUAAACU